Populus nigra (black poplar) is the source of this 504-nucleotide long non-coding RNA. RefSeq lists it as uncharacterized. Lineage: Eukaryota; Viridiplantae; Streptophyta; Magnoliopsida; Malpighiales; Salicaceae. The record is from RefSeq and is a predicted model, not a curated record. The transcript has 2 exons.
CCGCGUUCAUAAAUAGAGGACCGAGGCACCUCAUGCUUCAUCAUAUCAACAAUUCUAUCUCCUCUGAGUUCUUUUGAACACUUCUCUUCCAAAAGUGCGAGAGUAGAAGAAGAUGAAGAAAAGAAAAAAAGUCAGGUUUUGCAGGGAAGACAUGCAUGGCAAAUAUUGUGGAAGACUAUGAAAUACUCAUUUGAGCAAGAAAAUACUUCAAACUUGUGUUCAACAAAGAUCCAAAGACUGGAUAGUUAGGAAGUCUCUACCUUAAAAUUUUGAGAGGAGAACAACCUAGAAACUUCAAGAGAAGAACGCAAGUAUCUAAGAUGUCAUCUAACAUAAAUAUGACAUCUUGAUAUAUAUGUUAUUAAGUUUUGUUUUGUAAGUUAUGCAGAUGUUAAUUAAAAUUAGUUUAGUUUUUCAAUAAAAUAGAUAUAGAGUAGAAGAAUCGUUAAGAAUAUAGUCAUGUAUAAACAAAACAAAUAUAAAGCAAUGAUAUUAUGAUUAUAA